CGCCGCGCGCGCGGCGGGCUACGGGAGGCAGCAGUGGGGAAUAUUGCACAAUGGGCGCAAGCCUGAUGCAGCCAUGCCGCGUGUAUGAAGAAGGCCUUCGGGUUGUAAAGUACUUUCAGCGGGGAGGAAGGUGUUGUGGUUAAUAACCGCAGCAAUUGACGUUACCCGCAGAAGAAGCACCGGCUAACUCCGUGCCAGCAGCCGCGGUAAUA
This 212-nucleotide ribosomal RNA is filed under the name uncultured Salmonella sp. RNAcentral describes it as "partial 16S ribosomal RNA". It matches the Rfam family "Bacterial small subunit ribosomal RNA", at positions 314 to 525 of the family's 1533-position model. The record is from RNAcentral. Lineage: Bacteria; Pseudomonadati; Pseudomonadota; Gammaproteobacteria; Enterobacterales; Enterobacteriaceae.